This 239-nucleotide ribosomal RNA is filed under the name uncultured bacterium. RNAcentral's name for it is "partial 16S ribosomal RNA". It matches the Rfam family "Bacterial small subunit ribosomal RNA", at positions 15 to 245 of the family's 1533-position model. The record is from RNAcentral.
GAUCAUGGCUCAGGAUGAACGCUAGCUACAGGCUUAACACAUGCAAGUCGAGGGGCAGCAUCAUCAAAGCUUGACUUUGAUGGAUGGCGACCGGCGCACGGGUGAGUAACACGUAUCCAACCUGCCGGACAACACUGGGAUAGCCUUUCGAAGAAAGAUUAAUACCGGAUGGCAUAGUUUUCCCGCAUGGGAUAAUUAUUAAAAGAAUUUCGGUUGUCGAUGGGAUGCGUUCCAUUAGG